AAUGGGUCAGCGACUUAUAUUCUGUAGCAAGGUUAACCGAAUAGGGGAGCCGAAGGGAAACCGAGUCUUAACUGGGCGUUAAGUUGCAGGGUAUAGACCCGAAACCCGGUGAUCUAGCCAUGGGCAGGUUGAAGGUUGGGUAACACUAACUGGAGGACCGAACCGACUAAUGUUGAAAAAUUAGCGGAUGACUUGUGGCUGGGGGUGAAAGGCCAAUCAAACCGGGAGAUAGCUGGUUCUCCCCGAAAGCUAUUUAGGUAGCGCCUCGUGAAUUCAUCUCCGGGGGUAGAGCACUGUUUCGGCAAGGGGGUCAUCCCGACUUACCAACCCGAUGCAAACUGCGAAUACCGGAGAAUGUUAUCACGGGAGACACACGGCGGGUGCUAACGUCCGUCGUGAAGAGGGAAACAACCCAGACCGCCAGCUAAGGUCCCAAAGUCAUGGUUAAGUGGGAAACGAUGUGGGAAGGCCCAGACAGCCAGGAUGUUGGCUUAGAAGCAGCCAUCAUUUAAAGAAAGCGUAAUAGCUCACUGGUCGAGUCGGCCUGCGCGGAAGAUGUAACGGGGCUAAACCAUGCACCGAAGCUGCGGCAGCGACGCUUAUGCGUUGUUGGGUAGGGGAGCGUUCUGUAAGCCUGUGAAGGUGUGCUGUGAGGCAUGCUGGAGGUAUCAGAAGUGCGAAUGCUGACAUAAGUAACGAUAAAGCGGGUGAAAAGCCCGCUCGCCGGAAGACCAAGGGUUCCUGUCCAACGUUAAUCGGGGCAGGGUGAGUCGACCCCUAAGGCGAGGCCGAAAGGCGUAGUCGAUGGGAAACAGGUUAAUAUUCCUGUACUUGGUGUUACUGCGAAGGGGGGACGGAGAAGGCUAUGUUGGCCGGGCGACGGUUGUCCCGGUUUAAGCGUGUAGGCUGGUUUUCCAGGCAAAUCCGGAAAAUCAAGGCUGAGGCGUGAUGACGAGGCACUACGGUGCUGAAGCAACAAAUGCCCUGCUUCCAGGAAAAGCCUCUAAGCAUCAGGUAACAUCAAAUCGUACCCCAAACCGACACAGGUGGUCAGGUAGAGAAUACCAAGGCGCUUGAGAGAACUCGGGUGAAGGAACUAGGCAAAAUGGUGCCGUAACUUCGGGAGAAGGCACGCUGAUAUGUAGGUGAAGUCCCUCGCGGAUGGAGCUGAAAUCAGUCGAAGAUACCAGCUGGCUGCAACUGUUUAUUAAAAACACAGCACUGUGCAAACACGAAAGUGGACGUAUACGGUGUGACGCCUGCCCGGUGCCGGAAGGUUAAUUGAUGGGGUCAGCGCAAGCGAAGCUCUUGAUCGAAGCCCCGGUAAACGGCGGCCGUAACUAUAACGGUCCUAAGGUAGCGAAAUUCCUUGUCGGGUAAGUUCCGACCUGCACGAAUGGCGUAAUGAUGGCCAGGCUGUCUCCACCCGAGACUCAGUGAAAUUGAACUCGCUGUGAAGAUGCAGUGUACCCGCGGCAAGACGGAAAGACCCCGUGAACCUUUACUAUAGCUUGACACUGAACAUUGAGCCUUGAUGUGUAGGAUAGGUGGGAGGCUUAGAAGUGUGGACGCCAGUCUGCAUGGAGCCGACCUUGAAAUACCACCCUUUAAUGUUUGAUGUUCUAACGUUGACCCGUAAUCCGGGUUGCGGACAGUGUCUGGUGGGUAGUUUGACUGGGGCGGUCUCCUCCUAAAGAGUAACGGAGGAGCACGAAGGUUGGCUAAUCCUGGUCGGACAUCAGGAGGU
This 1747-nucleotide ribosomal RNA is filed under the name Escherichia coli. RNAcentral describes it as "partial 23S ribosomal RNA". It matches the Rfam family "Bacterial large subunit ribosomal RNA", at positions 614 to 2346 of the family's 2925-position model. The record is from RNAcentral. Lineage: Bacteria; Pseudomonadati; Pseudomonadota; Gammaproteobacteria; Enterobacterales; Enterobacteriaceae.